CCUCCAUUUAUUUUGAAGCAGAAGAUCAGUUGAAAAUUGGUGUAAUGGCCUGAUCACCUAAUACACCUUGAUUCGACAAGAGACACUGCUUCGAAAAUUAUUUGAAAUUGUUUGGAAAAGAAUUCGAAGUUUUAAAGACAAUAUGAAAGUGAAUUUAUUUGAACUUUGAUUUGAGAAAAAUGUUUUAUUAUUUGUUUAUUGGAAAUUGUUUUGAAGUUGCAAUUAAUUGUUUGAUUUUUAUUGUUUUGUCG
This 251-nucleotide long non-coding RNA is filed under the name Jatropha curcas. RNAcentral describes it as "long non-coding RNA (JCUR_LNC001628)". The record is from RNAcentral. Lineage: Eukaryota; Viridiplantae; Streptophyta; Magnoliopsida; Malpighiales; Euphorbiaceae.